RNAcentral lists this unclassified non-coding RNA (347 nucleotides) under uncultured fungus. RNAcentral describes it as "partial contains 5.8S ribosomal RNA and internal transcribed spacer 2". The stretch from base 1 to 133 matches the Rfam family "5.8S ribosomal RNA", at positions 22 to 154 of the family's 154-position model. Lineage: Eukaryota; Fungi. The record is from RNAcentral.
UGGUUCUGGCAUCGAUGAAGAACGCAGCGAAAUGCGAUAAGUAAUGUGAAUUGCAGAAUUCCGUGAAUCAUCGAAUCUUUGAACGCACAUUGCGCCCGCCGGCAUUCUGGCGGGCAUGCCUGUUCGAGCGUCAUUUCAACCCUCAAGCCCCCCGGGGCUUGGCGUUGGGGAUCGGCCCCGCCCUCGCCGGCGCCGCCCCCGAAAUUCAGUGGCGGUCACGCCGCGGCUUCCUCUGCGCAGUAGCAAACGCCUCGCAGCUGGGACGCGGUGCGGCCACGCCGCCGGUUCAGACGAGCCGGUCACAACUUCUCGUGGUUGACCUCGGAUCAGGUAGGAAUACCCGCUGA